AAUUCGCCCUUAGAGUUUGAUCCUGGCUCAGGAUGAACGCUGGCGGCGUGCCUAACACAUGCAAGUCGAACGGUUAAGCCGGCUUCGGCCGGGAAUACAGUGGCGAACGGGUGAGUAACACGUGACCAACCUGCCCCCCGCUCCGGGACAACCGCUGGAAACGGCGGCUAAUACCGGGUACUCCGCGGGCCCCGCAUGGGGCCGGCGGGAAAGCCCAGGCGGCGGGGGAUGGGGUCGCGGCCCAUUAGGUAGUAGGCGGGGUAGAGGCCCACCUAGCCGACGAUGGGUAGCCGGACUGAGAGGUCGACCGGCCACAUUGGGACUGAGAUACGGCCCAGACUCCUACGGGAGGCAGCAGUGGGGAAUUUUGCGCAAUGGGGGAAACCCUGACGCAGCAACGCCGCGUGCGGGACGAAGGCCCUCGGGCUGUAAACCGCUUUCAGCAGGGAAGACAUCGACGGUACCUGCAGAAGAAGCUCCGGCUAACUACGUGCCAGCAGCCGCGGUAAUACGUAGAGGGCGAGCGUUAUCCGGAUUCAUUGGGCGUAAAGCGCGCGUAGGCGGCCGCCUAAGCGGAACCUCUAACCCCGGGGCUCAACCUCGGGCCGGGUUCCGGACUGGGCGGCUCGAGUGCGGUAGAGGAGAGCGGAAUUCCCGGUGUAGCGGUGGAAUGCGCAGAUAUCGGGAAGAACACCGAUGGCGAAGGCAGCUCUCUGGGCCGUCACUGACGCUGAGGCGCGAAAGCUGGGGGAGCGAACAGGAUUAGAUACCCUGGUAGUCCACACCGUAAACGAGGAUCCACUAGGGUGGGGGGGUGUGGACCCCCUUCCGUGCCGGAGUUAACACCAAUAAGUGAUCCACCCGGGGGAGUGACGGGCCGCACGGGUGAAACUCAAAAGGAAUUGACGGGGGCCCGCACAAGCAGUGGAGUAUGUGGUUUAAUUUGAAGCAACGCGAAGAACCUUACCAGGUCUUGACAUCGUGCGCAUAGCCUAGAGAUAAGGUGAAGCCCUUCGGGGCGCACAGACAGGUGGUGCAUGGUUGUCGUCAGCUCGUGUCGUGAGAUGUUGGGUUAAGUCCCGCAACGAGCGCAACCCUUACCUUCAGUAGCCAGCACGUAAUGGUGGGCACUCUGGAGGGACUGCCGGGGACAACCCGGAGGAAGGUGGGGAGGACGUCAAAUCAUCAUGCCCCUUAUGGCCAGGGCUACACACGUGCUACAAUGGCGCAAACAAAGGGAAGCAGAGCUGUGAGGCCGAGCAAAUCCCAAAAACAGCGUCCCAGUUCGGAUUGUAGUCUGCAACUCGACUACAUGAAGCCGGAAUCGCUAGUAAUCGCGAAUCAGAAUGUCGCGGUGAAUACGUUCCCGGGUCUUGCACUCACCGCCCGUCAAG
RNAcentral lists this ribosomal RNA (1394 nucleotides) under uncultured bacterium. Its description in RNAcentral is "bacterial SSU rRNA". It matches the Rfam family "Bacterial small subunit ribosomal RNA". The record is from RNAcentral.